RNAcentral lists this ribosomal RNA (115 nucleotides) under Acetobacteraceae bacterium. Lineage: Bacteria; Pseudomonadati; Pseudomonadota; Alphaproteobacteria; Acetobacterales; Acetobacteraceae. The record is from RNAcentral.
CCUGGUGGCCACGGCGGGGGGCCCGCACCCGAUCCCAUCCCGAACUCGGCCGUGAAACCCCCCAGCGCCCAUGGUACUGCGACACAAGUCGCGGGAGAGUCGGUCGCCGCCAGGU